UAGGGAAUCUUCCACAAUGGGCGAAAGCCUGAUGGAGCAACGCCGCGUGUGUGAUGAAGGGUUUCGGCUCGUAAAACACUGUUGUAAGAGAAGAAUGACAUUGAGAGUAACUGUUCUAUGUGUGACGGUAUCUUACCAGAAAGGAACGGCUAAAUACGUGCCUG
This 164-nucleotide ribosomal RNA is filed under the name uncultured bacterium. RNAcentral describes it as "partial 16S ribosomal RNA". It matches the Rfam family "Bacterial small subunit ribosomal RNA", at positions 355 to 511 of the family's 1533-position model. The record is from RNAcentral.